RNAcentral lists this non-coding RNA (94 nucleotides) under chicken gut metagenome. RNAcentral describes it as "SAM riboswitch (S box leader)". It matches the Rfam family "SAM riboswitch aptamer (S box leader)". From Rfam's summary of the family: The SAM riboswitch is found upstream of a number of genes which code for proteins involved in methionine or cysteine biosynthesis in Gram-positive bacteria. The SAM riboswitch acts at the level of transcription termination control. The record is from RNAcentral.
CCUUAUCAAGAGUGGCGGAGGGAACAGGCCCUGUGAUGCCCAGCAACCUGCUGAUGUAAGGUGCUAAUUCCUGCGGGAAAACCGAAAGAUGAGG